UACGUAGGGUGCAAGCGUUGUCCGGAAUUAUUGGGCGUAAAGAGCUCGUAGGCGGUCUGUCGCGUCGGCUGUGAAAACCCGGGGCUCAACCCCGGGCCUGCAGUCGAUACGGGCAGACUAGAGUGCGGUAGGGGAGACUGGAAUUCCUGGUGUAGCGGUGAAAUGCGCAGAUAUCAGGAGGAACACCCAUGGCGAAGGCAGCAAACUGGUCAUCAACUGACGCUGAGGCGCGAAAGCGUGGGUAGCAAACAGG
RNAcentral lists this ribosomal RNA (253 nucleotides) under uncultured bacterium. RNAcentral's name for it is "partial 16S ribosomal RNA". It matches the Rfam family "Bacterial small subunit ribosomal RNA", at positions 524 to 776 of the family's 1533-position model. The record is from RNAcentral.